Molecule: ribosomal RNA, 226 nt
Filed under: uncultured bacterium
Lineage: Bacteria
Description: partial 16S ribosomal RNA
Rfam family: Bacterial small subunit ribosomal RNA
Source: RNAcentral
UACGUAGGGUGCGAGCGUUGUCCGGAAUUAUUGGGCGUAAAAGAGCUUGUAGGUGGUUUGUCGCGUCUGCUGUGAAAAUCCCGAGGCUCAACCUCGGACUUGCAGUGGGUACGGGCAGACUAGAGUGUGGUAGGGGAGACUGGAAUUCCUGGUGUACGCGGUGGAAUGCGCAGAUAUCAGGAGGAACACCGAGUGGCGAAGGCGGUCUCUGGGCCAUUACUGACAC